This 2136-nucleotide ribosomal RNA is filed under the name Triticum aestivum (bread wheat). RNAcentral describes it as "partial small subunit ribosomal RNA". The record is from RNAcentral. Lineage: Eukaryota; Viridiplantae; Streptophyta; Magnoliopsida; Poales; Poaceae.
AUGAAGAUAUUCAGGGCGCAAGGUAAUCCUUGUGCCACAGCUCCGUAUAUAUUUCUCAUGCAGUUGCUCCUUCUCUGCCUGUGUUUAUUCUGCACCGGUUCCGCCCAAUCCAGCCUUACCAAAUGCCCCGGCAGCUCCAUCAACAUCCCAUCCCCUUUCAACAUCCCUGACAACUCGAGCAUCUCGAGGAAUCCAGGCUUCGACAUAUCAUGUGAAUCAACAGGGCCAAUGAUAUCGCUCGGUCGCAAGCAGUACAGGGUCCUGGGCAUCUCGCUGCUCCAGGGCUAUGUACGUGUAACCGGUCACACCGUCUACACCCAGUGCCAGCAGAACGCUGGCCCGGUGACCACAAACUUCAUUGACCUUCGGGGCACGCCUUUCACCUUCUCACACACACUUAACAAGUUCACCGUCGUUGGCUGUGACUCCAUGGCCAUGAUACAAAGCCCGGACGUAACGAGUCGGUACAGGGGAGGCUGCGUGUCGUUCUGCGCUUCCGAGGGAAGCAUCACCAGUGGCGCAUGCUCUGGGGUGGGCUGCUGUCAAGCUUCAGUGCCCGAGGAACUCAAGGUACUGAAGUUAGAGUUUACCAGCAUACGGAGCCAGCUCCUGCAGUCCUCCGGAUCUUUGGGGAACAUCAGUAAAAGCAGUAGCGCAUGGUGCAGCAAGGCGUUCAUUGUGGACCAAGGUUCCUAUGUGUUCUCCAGGGAUCACUUGGACAGAAACCUGACAAACCUGCCAAUGGUACUUGACUGGUCUAUAUCCGGCGGCAACUGCUCAGAGGCGCGUAGUGCGCCUCAGACCUACAUGUGCAAGGAGAACACCGAUUGUUAUACCGUGGCAAAUAACACUGCAUACCGCUGCAACUGUUCUGAAGGUUUCACUGGGAACCCUUAUCUGGGAUGCCAAGAUAUUGAUGAAUGCAAAGACAAAAAUAAGUAUCCCUGCAUGCACAGGCACAAGUGCAUCAACACAGUUGGUGGUUUUAACUGUGCAUGCCCCAUGGGCAUGACGGGGGAUGGUAAGAAGCAGGGCACUGGGUGCAAAAGAGAUACAACGCUACUGAUUGCUGCAGGUGGAGGCCUGCCUUUGCUGCUUGUCCUCCUCAUGCUCGGAUUCUGGACCCACUGGCUUUUCACGAAGAGAAAGCUUGCGAAGAUAAGACAGAAAUACUUUUUGCAGAAUGGUGGCAUGCUCCUGAAGCAGCAGAUGUUUUCUCAGAGGGCGCCGUUGAGGAUAUUCACCUCUAGCGAGCUUGAAAAGGCAACCAACAGAUUCAGUGAUGACAACAUAGCUGGCCGAGGUGGGUUUGGAACGGUCUACAAAGGCAUACUAUCUGAUCAAAUGGUUGUGGCGAUCAAGAAGGCGCAGCGAGUUGAUCAGAGCCAGGUGGAACAAUUCGUUAAUGAGAUGGUCAUUCUCUCACAAGUGAACCAUGAGAAUGUGGUCCAGCUAGUUGGUUGUUGUCUCGAGUCAGAAGUUCCAUUGUUGGUUUAUGAAUUCAUCACCAACGGGGCCCUUUUUCACCACCUCCACAACACAUCAGCCCCGAUGUCGUGGAAGGAACGCCUAAGGAUUGCAGUGGAAACUGCAACAGCACUUGCCUACUUGCACAUGGCCACAGAAAUGCCAAUUAUUCACAGAGAUGUCAAGUCGUCAAACAUACUCCUUGACGAGAGCUUCACGGCGAAGGUCUCCGAUUUUGGUGCUUCGAGGCCAAUGGCCCAUAAUCAGACCCAUGUGACGACCUUAGUGCAGGGGACACUGGGGUACAUGGACCCUGAGUACUUCCAGACAAGCCAACUGACAGAGAGAAGUGACGUCUAUAGCUUUGGUGUAGUACUUAUCGAGCUAUUGACAAGGCAGAAACCAAUAUUUGGCGGUAAGAUGGAUGAGGUGAGAAGCCUAGCAUUGCAUUUCAGUAUACUAUUCCAUGAGAACCGGUUGUCCGAAAUUGUAGAUCCUCAGAUAGACGAGGAAGCUGGGGCUAGACAUGUUAAAACUGUGGCACAGCUGGCCUUGCGUUGCUUAAGGCUGAAAGGUGAGGAGAGGCCAAGGAUGGUAGAGGUUGCAGUCGAACUUGAAGCGCUGCGAAGACUAAUGAAACAACACUGCAUAGUCAAUUCUGAAGAGUGA